GUGCUCACUUUGGCAGCACAUAUACUGAAAUUUAAAUGAUACAGAGAAGAUUAGCAUGGCCCCUGCGCAAGGACGACAUGCAAAUUCAUGAAGCGUUCCAUUUAAAA
RNAcentral lists this small nuclear RNA (107 nucleotides) under Jaculus jaculus (lesser Egyptian jerboa). Lineage: Eukaryota; Metazoa; Chordata; Mammalia; Rodentia; Dipodidae. The record is from RNAcentral.